This 1059-nucleotide long non-coding RNA is filed under the name Monodelphis domestica (gray short-tailed opossum). RNAcentral describes it as "lncRNA (ENSMODG00000051357.1)". The record is from RNAcentral. Lineage: Eukaryota; Metazoa; Chordata; Mammalia; Didelphimorphia; Didelphidae.
GGCAAACUGCACUGUCUGAGAUGAUAUCAACCAGUAAUUAUUCAAGCUCGCAGCUGUUUUCAGCUGAGCAGGAGAAAGAAUGGCAAACCAUUCCAUGUCUUUGCCAAGAAAACCUCAUAGACAGUAUGGUCCGUGGGGUCACAAAGAGUCAGAUAUGAUCAGACAACAACAAAACAGAUAAUAUGGUAUAAUGGAAAUAAGCAUUGCAUCUAUAACCAAAGGACCUAUACUUAUUAUCUGUACUACUACUACUACUGAUGAUGAUGAUAACGAUAAUUACAUUUAUAUAAAGUUUUAAUGUCUGCAAAGCCCUUGACAUUAUUUCACUGGAAUAUCAUUAUAACCCUUCCAGGUAGAUGCUAUUAUUUUCCCCAUUUUGCUAAUGAAGAAAUUAAGAAUCACAGAGAUUCAGUGACUUACCCAGGGUAACACAGUUAAUAACUAUGUGAAGUAUUAUUUGUACUCGGGUCUUCCUGACUCUGGGUCAGGAUGUCAUGUAUGUUUUCUGGGCUCCAUUUAUUCAUGUUCCUAUAAGCACCCAUGAUUUUAUUGUUAGCAAAAAUACAUAAGGAAGAUAAUUGUAAAAAAAAAUGUCACCAAGCCAAGCUGCCUCUAUUAAGCUUUCACUCUUGACUUAGUUUUCAUGGUUUCUAGGAAUAUAAUGGGCUGAAGCAAAUCCCUCAUCACAGCUCCAGUGAGAGUAUUUGCAAUUUCACUAAAUGAAUUCCCCUAAUAAUUUGAUGAAGGUCCACGCUAAUGAGCCAGAGAUAUAACAGGCAGUAAAAGAAAUUUCUGAUCACCAGUCAGGUGAGACUUUAAGUCUCAGGCACCACAAGUAUAACAAAGGGAAAAGCAGUUCAAAAGGUAGAUGUAAAAAGUGAAUACAGUCUUCACAGUAGGAUGACGCUCCGAAAGCCCACGGGUCUAACAAACUAUGGAAUUGGCAGAGUCCUGGUCACCUGAAGCUAUGGAGACCAGCAGAUGAUACGGGGCUCCAACAGCAGAGGUAGAUAUUUAUAACAGCUUCAAAGAUAGCAGCACAGAAAACAUUGAAAAGAA